UCAUCGUCUCUUGUCUUUCCUCAUGAACACAUAUCCAUCUUUCACAGCACUGCAGUGAGGCAAGCUGUCCCAACCUGUCUCUUCUGUUCUAAUAAUGUCGUACCUCUGUGACCUCAUGCAUAGUUCUGGUUUGUCCUACUCACUUCGUGGGGACCAAGAAGAUAUCCCUUGGGCCUAUGCUCAACCCCCAGAACCAUGAAGGCACUCCUGAUAUGCAACAGGUCUCCCGUGGCAGUCUUGUCAGUGCUCACAUGGAUGAGUAACAAGAGAUAAUAAUAAUAAAUGAGCCAAAUGAGCCUCAGAAGUUUCUCCUCAACAUCCUUGAUCAAAACCCCCAGCAAGCACCAAAUCUCCCCAGAAAGCAGGUCAAGUCAACAGAAGAGGAGGAAAGGAGUCUCCAAAUACCUUUCCUCUACAGGAAGGAAGGUCUCCAAAUACCAUUACCCACUACUUUUUGGUGCCUGCAUGUGGGUACAGCCUGGCCAACUCUGAUGGCUGACCUUAUCUGCUGAUGUUUUAAAUAAACCUACUAUUUUAAUAC
Molecule: long non-coding RNA, 541 nt
Organism: Cygnus olor (mute swan)
Lineage: Eukaryota; Metazoa; Chordata; Aves; Anseriformes; Anatidae
Exons: 2
Source: RefSeq, a predicted model, not a curated record